This is a long non-coding RNA of Rhipicephalus microplus (southern cattle tick), 235 nucleotides long. Lineage: Eukaryota; Metazoa; Arthropoda; Arachnida; Ixodida; Ixodidae. The record is from RefSeq and is a predicted model, not a curated record.
GGCUACCUUCUGUGGCAGAUACGCUCGUACGAAGGGAACACCAUGAGACAGCAUUUGCAGGCGACCGGUCACGCCACCUAUGAACGCAGAAAACUGCUGGACGCCCCAAGGAGCAACCGGGCGGACACCAUCGAUGAAGAGAUGAUGCAAGGUGACGCACCGGCUGAACAACGGAAGCGGACCCUGCGCCUGGACAAGCGAGCCACGUGCAGCCCUCGGCCGGUGCCCGUGCGGG